GCCGAGAGGGCGAGGAAUAAAAGACCUUCGGGGAAUAACUCCAGCCGACUUUGGACGGUUUACGAACCUCUUGGCACCCUAUU
Molecule: non-coding RNA, 83 nt
Filed under: Haemophilus influenzae 22.1-21
Lineage: Bacteria; Pseudomonadati; Pseudomonadota; Gammaproteobacteria; Pasteurellales; Pasteurellaceae
Description: sRNA-Xcc1
Rfam family: sRNA-Xcc1
Source: Rfam by way of RNAcentral